UCCGGUGUAGAUGACGGCAAGGGAACACCUGUUACCAUACCGAACACAGAAGUUAAGCUUGCUGGUGCCGAAGAUACUUGGUGGGUAGCUACCUGGGAAAAUAGGGAUAUGCCGGAA
This 117-nucleotide ribosomal RNA is filed under the name Oscillospiraceae bacterium. Lineage: Bacteria; Bacillati; Bacillota; Clostridia; Eubacteriales; Oscillospiraceae. The record is from RNAcentral.